Molecule: ribosomal RNA, 779 nt
Filed under: uncultured Lactobacillus sp.
Lineage: Bacteria; Bacillati; Bacillota; Bacilli; Lactobacillales; Lactobacillaceae
Description: bacterial SSU rRNA
Rfam family: Bacterial small subunit ribosomal RNA
Source: RNAcentral
GACGAACGCUGGCGGCGUGCCUAAUACAUGCAAGUCGAACGAAACUUUCUUACACCGAAUGCUUGCAUUCACCGUAAGAAGUUGAGUGGCGGACGGGUGAGUAACACGUGGGUAACCUGCCUAAAAGAAGGGGAUAACACUUGGAAACAGGUGCUAAUACCGUAUAUCUCUAAGGAUCGCAUGAUCCUUAGAUGAAAGAUGGUUCUGCUAUCGCUUUUAGAUGGACCCGCGGCGUAUUAACUAGUUGGUGGGGUAACGGCCUACCAAGGUGAUGAUACGUAGCCGAACUGAGAGGUUGAUCGGCCACAUUGGGACUGAGGCACGGCCCAAACUCCUACGGGAGGCAGCAGUAGGGAAUCUUCCACAAUGGACGCAAGUCUGAUGGAGCAACGCCGCGUGAGUGAAGAAGGUCUUCGGAUCGUAAAACUCUGUUGUUAGAGAAGAACACGAGUGAGAGUAACUGUUCAUUCGAUGACGGUAUCUAACCAGCAAGUCACGGCUAACUACGUGCCAGCAGCCGCGGUAAUACGUAGGUGGCAAGCGUUGUCCGGAUUUAUUGGGCGUAAAGGGAACGCAGGCGGUCUUUUAAGUCUGAUGUGAAAGCCUUCGGCUUAACCGGAGUAGUGCAUUGGAAACUGGAAGACUUGAGUGCAGAAGAGGAGAGUGGAACUCCAUGUGUAGCGGUGAAAUGCGUAGAUAUAUGGAAGAACACCAGUGGCGAAAGCGGCUCUCUGGUCUGUAACUGACGCUGAGGUUCGAAAGCGUGGGUAGCAAACAGG